AAGAUUUUAAGAUAAAUAAUCACUUAACCUUCAAAGUUAAAAAUAUAAAUAUAUAAUUUUAUAAAUCUUA
Molecule: transfer RNA, 70 nt
Filed under: Dolichovespula lama
Lineage: Eukaryota; Metazoa; Arthropoda; Insecta; Hymenoptera; Vespidae
Description: tRNA-Trp
Source: RNAcentral